UCGCGAGCGAACGCGUCGUCACCUCCAUCCUCGGCCUUGCCGCCCCAUCCACCGCGCCGAGGCCCUCUCCUCGUCCAGGGAGCCCCUCGCGCUCUCACCUACGCAGGAGGCGCCCGUCCUCCUCCCUCCACCGCCCUCCCUCAAGCCAGCGACCCCCACCCUCCUCCUCCCUCCACCGCCCUCCCUCACGCCGGCGACCCCCCACCCUCCUCCUCCCUCACGCCCUCCUCCAUGGAUUUGUUUGAUGCUCUUCCAUUUUCUCGUUGCAGCAAACUGAAUUUGGGGAAUUUUUUUCUAGGGAUUUUUCAGUAGAGAUGUGGUUUGAUUCAGUUGGUAGUAGAGGAGCGGAUGCACAAGAAGAAGAAAAAUGAGGGAGAAACCCAAAUCAAGUUGGGGAGAAAGAGAAGGAGCCCUCUGCGAACGGAGGCAAGUCUCGAUUCCAUCGUCCUGCUACCAGGGGUGCCAACAAUGCCAUGUCGGGUCGAGGAGACUUCAAGGAGUGCCGAUCUACUUCCCAGAUACGAGGUGGUCGUUUUUGGCAAGCCCUGAGCUAUUUUUGUUGCUGGCUUUGACAUUCCCAACAUUGCUGAGUGAUCAACGUGUCCAAGGUUGAGCAACAUCCUUCCUACAAUGAUCUUUGUGAUGGCUGUGAUUUUCAGGUAUACAUGCAUGAUUUGAUCGAAAAUGCGGUGAAUUUUUAGACUGCAAGUUGUCUGAUUGUUUAUUGUUCAAGUAGUAAUUUAUCUCAUAGGUUAUCUGAUCGUUUGCUGUUGGAGUAGUAACUAUUUCAAAUGGGGUGAGUAUUAAGUUUACACUGAAUAGUUACCUGAUUGUUUUUGGAUGAUUGAGUUAUCUAGCAUUCCUUUCAUUUUCAGUUAAGUAAAUUUUCUAUUAUCUAAUAGCAUUUUUAAGUAAUGGUUAAUCCGUUUAUUUAUUAUGCAUUAGCAAUUUUGUAGUUGUAUCUUGCCACUCUUUUAACAAUGUGUGUAACAAUAUAGUUUUGUAACAUUCCAGUGCCUCCUUAUUGUA
Long non-coding RNA from Panicum virgatum (switchgrass), 1029 nucleotides. RefSeq lists it as uncharacterized. The record is from RefSeq and is a predicted model, not a curated record. NCBI's taxonomy places the organism in Eukaryota, Viridiplantae, Streptophyta, Magnoliopsida, Poales, Poaceae. The transcript has 3 exons.